AAUAGGAAUUACUUGGGUUUCCUUGAGUUUCACAUGGCAGGGGUGUGGGUGAUUUAGGCUAGUGAUUAUUCAAGACACAGGGUGUGAUUGGACUUUAUGAUUUGGAAGGAUUACACUUUCUUAUGAAGUGGGUGUUUAAUUUCUCUUCAUUUUUAACCCAUUCUUUGUAAAUGCUAAAAUUACAAAUUAUCAUGCCUUUGGUCUGUGGCGUAGGACAAUCUGUGCUCGUUUUCUCCCGCCUUGGCUCAGAUUAACCACUUUUCUCAAGUACUACUCAUGCUACAAAAAAAAAAUCUGACUUUUCCUUUUCAAAUAGUUCACACGAGCGUGUGCGCACACUCGGGCAGGGAUGUGUGUUUCGUAACAGGUUUCUGUGCCUGUGACUCAGAGCUGAGCUAUUAAGCCAUAACACAUGGCUGACAUCUGGAACUCACUUGCAAGCUUUUCUCAUUCGAAUAUUGGUAGCCACAGCUCUCUACUCUCCUUCUCUCCAAGACGUAGCCACGCUUUCUCUAUCCACACCUCAUGGAACAGAGGAAGGAGAUGUUGGAAUGCGGAACGAUGGCAGGGCAGCUGCAGUGGCCUCCACACAGCCAGAGCAAUACUAAUGCAGUCGGUUUUGUCAUCUCUCCAAGGGACCAUAUGGCUUUCUUCAUGUGCCACUGCACCUUUAUCUCAGCAGAAUCCUAAAGCCCACAAAUGCCCCAUCACUGUGCACUUUGCAGCAGGGACACCCCACAGGCUCCUAGGCACUGCUGCCUGGAGUACUGGAUGGAGCCUCAUCAGGAUGGCUCUGGACAGAGAGGAUGAAGAUAGCUGGAGGUGUGUAAGAUACUCUUUAUCUAAAUAAAGCAGAUGUGGGAUCUUGAAGUGUGCUAAGCGUUGAAAUGAUCAAUGCAUUGCUCUCAGCUCCUGAGCACUAGUUGAGACUUACAGGGGAGAGAGUGUGGAGACACUGGUGGGACGGUCCAAGGUCUGAUCAUGAGGUGGAGCUUGUUCUCCUGCUCUCCACAAUCCCCUUGUUUCACAGCAGGCAUCUUUCUUCACCAGCCCAAGUCCAUUCCUGGCUCC
Molecule: long non-coding RNA, 1071 nt
Filed under: Anas platyrhynchos platyrhynchos (common mallard)
Lineage: Eukaryota; Metazoa; Chordata; Aves; Anseriformes; Anatidae
Description: lncRNA (ENSAPLG00000027260.1)
Source: RNAcentral